This 331-nucleotide ribosomal RNA is filed under the name uncultured eukaryote. RNAcentral describes it as "partial 18S ribosomal RNA". It matches the Rfam family "Eukaryotic small subunit ribosomal RNA", at positions 1470 to 1796 of the family's 1831-position model. The record is from RNAcentral.
CCCUUAGAUGUUCUGGGCCGCACGCGCGCUACAAUGAUGAAUUCAACGAGUUUAUAACCUUGGUUGAAAAGCCUGGGUAAUCUUUUGAACUUUCGUCGUGAUGGGGCUAGACCCUUGCAAUUAUUGGUCUCCAACGAGGAAUUCCUAGUAAACGCAUGUCAUCAGCAUGCAUUGAAUACGACCCUGUAUUCUGUACACACCGCCCGUCGCUCCUACCGAUUGAAGUUUUCGGUGAGCUUGCAGGAGGAAUUUUUUGAAACUGGUUCGCUAGUGGAUUUUUAUUCCAAAUGCUAACGAAUCGAUGGCUUUAGAGGAAGGAGAAGUCGUAACA